GACGAACGCUGGCGGCGUGCUUAACACAUGCAAGUCGAACGCUGAACCCGCUUCGGUGGGGGAUGAGUGGCGAACGGGUGAGUAACACGUGGGCAACCUGCCCCCGGCUCUGGGAUAACUCCAAGAAAUUGGGGCUAAUACCGGAUGUGACCGCUGGCCGCAUGGUCUGGUGGUGGAAAGGGUUUCCGGCUGGGGAUGGGCCCGCGGCCUAUCAGCUUGUUGGUGGGGUAGUGGCCUACCAAGGCGACGACGGGUAGCCGGCCUGAGAGGGUGACCGGCCACACUGGGACUGAGACACGGCCCAGACUCCUACGGGAGGCAGCAGUGGGGAAUAUUGCGCAAUGGGCGGAAGCCUGACGCAGCGACGCCGCGUAGGGGAUGACGGCCUUCGGGUUGUAAACCUCUUUCAGCAGGGACGAAGCGCAAGUGACGGUACCUGCAGAAGAAGCACCGGCCAACUACGUG
Molecule: ribosomal RNA, 465 nt
Filed under: uncultured bacterium
Lineage: Bacteria
Description: partial 16S ribosomal RNA
Rfam family: Bacterial small subunit ribosomal RNA
Source: RNAcentral